Molecule: long non-coding RNA, 1477 nt
Filed under: Dermacentor andersoni
Lineage: Eukaryota; Metazoa; Arthropoda; Arachnida; Ixodida; Ixodidae
Description: uncharacterized LOC126522355
Source: RNAcentral
GCGGCUAAGCAUCGAAGAGGCCCAAUGUAAGCAAACUCGUACAACGAGCUUACAGUGCGCGACGUAGUGAUCAGGCUCGACGAUGACCACGAUUCCUUGGAUAGUUCUGUUCCUCCGUGAGCAGUCUUUCCGUGCACCCCAUAAGACUGCCAAUAGCUUCGGUGAUAUUACAGAUCGCAACGCGCACCUACUGUUCACGGCGUAAUGCUGAUUCUAUGAGUGUGCUGAGUUCCUCCACUCAGUGUUACUACGAGCGUUACGAAUAUUACAUAGUGCGUGCAAAAGGAAGACAGCCUAUAUAGCUACGAUGCGACAAGGAGGUGGCGCCGACGAUGGAUCUCGCAACCAACACAGUGAAGGAGACAUCGACAAACUGCAGAUAAGUGUAUUUAUACUGUUUCAUAUUUAGCAUAUUAGUACACGGAUUAAGCCACUUUCGUAGUAACGAGCUGAAUGUCCAGCAGUUCAAAAAAGGCUCUGAGAACCAAUGAGUGUUCGUACUUUUAUAUCACGUUGGUCCGCGAAAAUUUAAAGGUGAUCGCGUUUGUCCGAGCUUCCAAGGCAUGCCACUCCCCCAAGUAGGCAGCAUAUGCCAUAGCGAGAAGCAUGGCGGAAAGCGAACUCGGAUCACCUGCAGCAAAAAAGGCUAGGUCGGGGCGUCAUGCGUCUGCUCUCCAAAAAGAAGAAUUAGUCGCCUUCUUGGAGAGGCAUCCCAACCUAGCCAGGCCGAGCAGCGAGUUGUCCGCGUGUUUCACGGGCCAUGAACGCGACAAAUUGUGGGCCCAGUUGGCAGACCUCCUCAACGAACGUGGCCCCGCGAAGAAGAGUGCGACAAAUUGGCGGCGAUAUUGGCCCGAGCUUGUCGCACAAGUCAAGCGGGACGCAGUCGUUGUGUCGGAAGCUGCCGCGUAAGUUGCACUGGUAUUAGUUAUUUAAGGAAACAGACGCUGCUGUUGUCGGUCUGCGUUAUGCUCACAAUGAAAUGUUGCCUUAUUCGUUAAUUCAUUAAAUGUUUACCAACUAAGAGCUGCGUGGCCGUGGUGUCACAGUGGCUUUUAGUAGUAUUUAAUCAUGUUACAUACGUUUCUGUAAACGACUGACCAGUUAUAUUUGCGAUUAACUUUCUCAUUUGGAAAUCUGCGUACCUCCUUCUUAAACGCGUUUUGCCCUCAAUUUCAGUGGCACAGGUGGUGGAAGGCUACCAGGGCUCCGAGGGAGGGUGCUCUCAUUGAUUGGCUGUAAGUGUGCCGUGAGCUUGGGGCCUUCACUAUUGCUGAAAGACCCCACACCGGAGUCGCAAACCUCGACCAGCCUGUUCGACGUCCCAGUAGUGCCACUGCAGCACUCGAUUUCAGUUCCCCAAGCAAGCACAAUGCCAAAAGGCUCGCAGGCACAGCCUAAGGCUGGAACUUUACAGGUGAUUGCUGACGACCAAAAGAGGCUCGUCGAGGCAGUGGAGGGUCUGCGGGCUGACACA